GUGGCGGACGGGUGAGUAACGCGUAGGAAUUUGCCCGCUAGAGGGGGAUAACUUAGGGAAACUUAAGCUAAUACCCCGUAAUGUCUACGGAUUAAAGUAUGGGACCUUCGGGCCAUACGCUAGCGGAUAAGCCUGCGUUGGAUUAGCUUGUUGGUGGGGUAAAGGCCUACCAAGGCGAUGAUCCAUAGCUGGUCUGAGAGGAUGAUCAGCCACACUGGGACUGAGACACGGCCCAGACUCC
RNAcentral lists this ribosomal RNA (241 nucleotides) under uncultured bacterium. RNAcentral describes it as "partial 16S ribosomal RNA". It matches the Rfam family "Bacterial small subunit ribosomal RNA", at positions 95 to 339 of the family's 1533-position model. The record is from RNAcentral.